This 30-nucleotide non-coding RNA is filed under the name Mus musculus (house mouse). The record is from RNAcentral. Lineage: Eukaryota; Metazoa; Chordata; Mammalia; Rodentia; Muridae.
UAAAGCUAUGAUUGAUGCCCAAGACAGAUA